RNAcentral lists this transfer RNA (76 nucleotides) under Candidatus Saccharimonadota bacterium. RNAcentral's name for it is "tRNA-Ile". It matches the Rfam family "tRNA". Rfam says of the family: Transfer RNA (tRNA) molecules are approximately 80 nucleotides in length. Their secondary structure includes four short double-helical elements and three loops (D, anti-codon, and T loops). Further hydrogen bonds mediate the characteristic L-shaped molecular structure. tRNAs have two regions of fundamental functional importance: the anti-codon, which is responsible for specific mRNA codon recognition, and the 3' end, to which the tRNAs corresponding amino acid is attached (by aminoacyl-tRNA synthetases). tRNAs cope with the degeneracy of the genetic code in two manners: having more than one tRNA (with a specific anti-codon) for a particular amino acid; and 'wobble' base-pairing, i.e. permitting non-standard base-pairing at the 3rd anti-codon position. The record is from RNAcentral. Lineage: Bacteria; Candidatus Saccharimonadota.
GGAGGUGUAGCUCAGUGGUUAGAGCGGCGUUCUUAUAAAGCGAAGGUCGCGGGUUCAAUCCCCGCCACCUCUACCA